GAUGAACGCUGGCGGCGUGCCUAAUACAUGCAAGUCGAGCGAACGGACGAGAAGCUUGCUUCUCUGAUGUUAGCGGCGGACGGGCGAGUAACACGUGGAUAACCUACCUAUAAGACUGGGAUAACUUCGGGAAACCGGAGCUAAUACCGGAUAAUAUUUUGAACCGCAUGGUUCAAAAGUGAAAGACGGUCUUGCUGUCACUUAUAGAUGGAUCCGCGCUGCAUUAGCUAGUUGGUAAGGUAACGGCUUACCAAGGCAACGAUGCAUAGCCGACCUGAGAGGGUGAUCGGCCACACUGGAACUGAGACACGGUUCAGACUCCUACGGGAGGCAGCAGUAGGGAAUCUUCCGCAAUGGGCGAAAGCCUGACGGAGCAACGCCGCGUGAGUGAUGAAGGUCUUCGGAUCGUAAAACUCUGUUAUUAGGGAAGAACAUAUGUGUAAGUAACUGUGCACAUCUUGACGGUACCUAAUCAGAAAGCCACGGCUAACUACGUG
RNAcentral lists this ribosomal RNA (497 nucleotides) under uncultured bacterium. Its description in RNAcentral is "partial 16S ribosomal RNA". It matches the Rfam family "Bacterial small subunit ribosomal RNA", at positions 28 to 507 of the family's 1533-position model. The record is from RNAcentral.